Molecule: long non-coding RNA, 524 nt
Organism: Marmota monax (woodchuck)
Lineage: Eukaryota; Metazoa; Chordata; Mammalia; Rodentia; Sciuridae
Exons: 3
Source: RefSeq, a predicted model, not a curated record
UUAUUUAAUAAAAAUAUAUUUAUUGAUAACCUACUCUGUAUGUGUAAUUUUCAGGAAAGAGAAACACAAAGAAAUAUGAAUACAAGCCAGGAGGACAAGCAUCCUGCCUUCAGGGAGCCUUGGUGAGAGGAAGUAACACAGCAAAAGCAAAUAAGUUUUGCAGACUGGGAUCACUGUUCUCUGCUUCCAAGAUGGCCCCUGGAAUGCUGCCUCCUUCUCCAGAAGGCGAAGUGCUCUGUUCUCACAUGACAAGUGAAUUCUGAGGAGGCAUAAAAGGAUGGUUACAAGAGGAGAUGAGAUUGUCUGGUACAGAUUUGGUAAGCUGCAUGUUAUCAUUUAUAAAUUUACCUUCUUUGCAGUUUGUGAAAAUCUGACUGUACUCAAGAGCAUGUAGCUAGUUUAGAUCUCAGCAGAGUGCUUUUUUUCUCUUUUUUAAAGAAGUUGCAAACAGUUUACUUGAAAUGGGAAGCUGUACUUACUAAUGCAUGCUGACAGAAAUGGUCCAUCUCUCUUAGAGGGAAACA